AAGAGGGAAGAAAAAGUCUCUUGCCUCUUCGGCAGGUCCAGACUUUUCCCCGGACUCCCUCCCGGCUAGCCGUGGUGCACUAACCCCCUGAAGGCCUGUGUUCACGCCGCAAAGCCCAGUCCUCUCCCUUCGCUCCGACCAAAGCCCGAGCCUCAGCUCCCAGCCCCGGCCCACCCCGGCGGGUAAGCAGACAAGCCUCUCGUACUGAGCUCAAUCCUAUAAAUGAGGAUCAACCCAAAGCAGGUGGCAUGCCAUCAAGACCGUGGCCACUUUGCCCUUUAUAUGCAGGAUGCUCAUGUCGGCUAUUGUAACCAGGAUAAAUCACAGGCUGAGGAAUAUCUUUCUUGGCUCCAAGCUGUACCGCCUUGGGAGAUGGUGUCACAGCUGGAGUCACACUGCUCCUUUGAGGAAUUCAUGUAGCUGUCGAUGUCCUAGAUCCUGUCCUUUUCAUGAUGCCAUGAAUAAAUAGGCCAGUGAAUGCCACUCCACAAAACCCACUUUUAUCCAGCUCCUCAGUCUUUGGGAAUCAAGCUACCACGAGGCUUUGAACUACUACCCUGCUCAAUUCUCAAGGCUACAGCUUCUACCAUGUCCUGUUUCGGCAAUGCAGUCUUUGUCUUCGUAAGGCCUAAGGCUGCAAACCAGUGAUCUAAGGAUUGAAUUUGAUUCACAGAUGGGAUUCUUCUCCAAUUGCUAGUCUCCACUACUCCCUGCUGUUUCCCAACAAUACAACUGAGCAUCUGUGUCAUCAUUCUUUCACUGUUGCUUUUCCUACAUUUGUGGUUCACCUCCCAACUCCAAAAAUCAGAUUGUCCAAGUUUAAAUCCAAGCUCCACCACUUACUAGCUGUACGGCUUGGUCAAGUUGUUUAGCCUUUCUGUAUUUCAGUUUCCCCACCUUUACAUUGCAAAUACAUAAAAGACACCUAUCUCAUAAAGGUGUUGUAAGGAUUAACUGAAUUAGUGUAUGUGUGACACUUAGAACCAUAUCUAGCACAUAGUAAGUGCUUUGUAGGUGUUUUUAUUUUAUAUUAUUAUUGCUUUAUUUCUUUAUUAUUACUGACUUGACUUGUAUAAAUAUUUGAUGAGAUCCAUGGACCAGAUCUUUCCACAUAGAGGUCUUAGUGGGAGUUUUCUCCAAAGUAGUUCUACUUUCAACCAUGUCUUACCAACGUUUUUUGUCUUUAACAACAAAAAAAUGUUUAACUAGCUCCUUAGCAGUGAGCAGAAAGGUCUAAUGGACUUCUUUUUAGGGGGCAGAGGUGUGUGAAGAAUCAUCUUUCAUUCCUUUGAUAGGAGAUUAGUAAUUUUUAAAAAAUCACCCUAUCACAUUUUACCAGGCCAAAGAAAAUGUACCUGGUUUCUAACUCUGAAGUCUGUACAGAUUUCCUCACUCUGCCCCUUACUUAUGCCCCACCAAGAAGGUGUUUCUACUACAUUAAGAAACUGGCUAAAUUCCACCCCCGCAUCUGUUUCCUAAGACUAACUUGUGGUUUUUCAUUCCACAUCACUUAUAACUCAAGGUAAUUUGACUUGCUUCUUCAAGUCUCAGGCUUCACUUGUUAGCUGGCUUGUCAAUCAUCCAUUUUCUGUGGUGAGUCAAAAAUAUUUUUCACUUGGUGAAUAAAAUAUGGAUAUUUCAUUUUAUUGAACCAUUUCGGGUUUCUAGAGUUGAAUUGUUGAUGUCUUGAGAUUCUUUGCACCUGCUUAAUUUUGAUACAUGACCUUUACAUUGCUUUGAAAGUCAAACUUCUAAUGGGGAAGAUUUUAUUUUAAUGUACAUAUUGGCAUGUUUCAUAGGUUCAUAAGCUCUUUCUUUUAUGUGCAGAGAAUGAAAAUAAAUGAUCCUUUGACCGCCUGUCAGCCAGAGUUUCAUUUCCUAUAUCUAACCAUGUCCCUUAGGUAGAAAUGGCAGCCAGGGGCAGUUGGGUUUUUAUUUAUUGCUAUGACAUUUUGUACACAUUUGAAAGGAACCAUGGUUGUGGAUCUAGAAAUAGGGUACAUGCAGAGACCAGGAAAUUUCAGAAACUGACUGAAUGAUCCUGUGAUGAAAUGGGCAUAUCCUAAUCUAACUUCCUGUUGCCUCAUCUUUUGAGUACAUAAAUCCCUGCCACUAUCCAGGGGAGGGAGGAAGAGCCUUUCUAUCAGACUGUACCUUUUACAUUCACGCUUUUCUCCAUACACUGGUCCUGCAGCUCACUUUAGGAAUGUGGAGACGUGGCGGGGAGGGGAAGUGGUGAAGAAUUGGAGAAUUCAGGGAAAGGGGACCAUUUUUUAAUGUGUUUCAGAAUGAAGACUCCAGUGAGAUAUGUCAGAGAACACAUUUGUUGUUCGUGGUGGCUGUAGUUGCUUAGUAGCCAGUCCUAGAGACUAAGAAGUUCAAAAGAAAAGAAAAAAAAAUGUAUUAACUAUGUUCUAAGAGUUGUUUUCACUGCUUUACAGAUCUUAUCUCUUUCACCCUAUAAUAAUCCUAUGAGAUAAGAACUAAUUUUUGCCCAUUUUAAAGGUGAGAACAUUUGGGAUCAGACAGGUAAACUAACUUAUUCAAGGUACCUGUUUAGUAAGAGCAGAACCAGACUUAAACCCAUUCUGUUUCAGAUCACACAGCGAGAGAAGUGAUAACCUAGUUGUUCUCAGGACUUUCCUAUAGUAUGGAAAGUUUUUUACUGAUUAUUUAUGGUAGACUUACAGACCAUAUAAAAUUGCUAAGCUAUUUUUAGGAGUAUUUUUUUAUUGUUGUUGC
Long non-coding RNA from Aethalodelphis obliquidens (Pacific white-sided dolphin), 2742 nucleotides. RefSeq lists it as uncharacterized. NCBI's taxonomy places the organism in Eukaryota, Metazoa, Chordata, Mammalia, Artiodactyla, Delphinidae. The record is from RefSeq and is a predicted model, not a curated record. The transcript is spliced from 4 exons.